RNAcentral lists this ribosomal RNA (397 nucleotides) under uncultured bacterium. RNAcentral describes it as "bacterial SSU rRNA". It matches the Rfam family "Bacterial small subunit ribosomal RNA", at positions 30 to 429 of the family's 1533-position model. The record is from RNAcentral.
AUUGAACGCUGGCGGCAUGCCUUACACAUGCAAGUCGAACGGCAGCGGGGACUUCGGUCCGCCGGCGAGUGGCGAACGGGUGAGUAAUGUAUCGGAACGUACCUUUCAGUGGGGGAUAACGUAGCGAAAGUUACGCUAAUACCGCAUAUUCUGUGCGCAGGAAAGCAGGGGAUCGCAAGACCUCGCGCUGAUUGAGCGGCCGAUAUCAGAUUAGCUAGUUGGUGGGGUAAAGGCCUACCAAGGCGACGAUCUGUAGCGGGUCUGAGAGGAUGAUCCGCCACACUGGAACUGAGACACGGUCCAGACUCCUACGGGAGGCAGCAGUGGGGAAUUUUGGACAAUGGGGGCAACCCUGAUCCAGCCAUGCCGCGUGAGUGAAGAAGGCCUCGGUUGUAAG